CCCAGGGUAGCUCAAAAGGUAAAGAAUUUGCCUGCAAUGCAAGAGACCUGGGUUAGAUCCCUGGCUUGGGA
Molecule: non-coding RNA, 71 nt
Organism: Bos taurus (domestic cattle)
Lineage: Eukaryota; Metazoa; Chordata; Mammalia; Artiodactyla; Bovidae
Source: Rfam